AUACAAGAAAAUCAGUAUCUGAAGAAGAAAAAAAAAAUCUUGUGUAGCACUGGAUAGAGAAAGAAAGGGUUUUCUUUAUGCAGACACUUGUGACUGGUCCUACUUUCCCCAGCAAUGAAACUUCUGAGUUGCUUUCCUCCACCGAUGACAUAUAGAUUGGUGAAGAUCCACCCUCCCUAUCACAGCUGCAUUAAUAUGAACAAAAAGGGACGCUCUAGCAAACAAAGAGACGAAAAAGGAUGGAAUUUGCAUAGCCUCAUUAACUAAAUUUAAUUAUGCCAGGCAGAAUAUUAAUGGGUGGUUGUUCCAAUUAGUGUAUUCACUGUAAGGAAGGAGGACUCCAAAUUAAAGACAAGCGUAGAGGACAAUCGCAUACUGAUUAGGAAGCUGCAACGUGACACAAUACACUUUUACAAUAAUUAUUCCGCGGAAAAACAGAAAAAAAAGAAGGCAGAUUGCUCUGUUUUAAGACCAACUCAAGAACAAUUAGACAACAGUGUGAUGACAUAGCAGCUUUCUUUUCGUUUGUGAGUACUUGCACUUCUGUACUCACACAUCAUUCAUCUUGGCGCGCACUACAAAAUUAGCAUUUUUCUGUUCCCUGGGAAAAAAAAACUUAGACUGUCUUUGCUGUAUUUUUUCAAAGGAAGGCCAAAACCUCAUCAACAAUAGAGGAGAGAAAUCCUAUCUAACACACUGAUACAGGCACUGCAGAGUCUCUGAACUUGAGCCUGGGACUUUGCACAGACGCUGAACUUUAAAACACGUGCAUCGCAACAAUGAAGGAGGAGUUCAAAGGGGGAACUUACGGAAGAAUAAAAAAAAACAAUGUUAUCAUUGCCAACUUACCAUCCACCAUGUCCUGGCUGACAUAUCAUAACAUAGUUGCCAUUUUAUGGAACUGUCGGAUGUUUUCCCAGCCAUUAUGCUGUCAGCAACCUUCAUCAGAUGCAGCUCAAUGGGGAGAUAAGACACCUAAUCAGAAACCCAUCAGCAGUGGCUUGCUAGGCUACAUGUAGGCCAAUCCUUAUCAGACUGCAUCAUGGGAAAAGAUCCUUUAUUAACAAGAACUCCAACCUCAUUGAUAUAAAGACAAGGAUCUGUUUUUCCCCCCUUUUUUUUCUUGUCUGAAGGGAUUGGUGAAACUAUCGUGUGCUCUUUGUGUAUCAUAAGCACCAGAAUUAAGUAACUUGGAGGUGGGCGUCUGACUAAUUUGCCUGGCUAUGUAGACUAAAGUUUGCAUUCCCAUCUGUUGAAUAUUGUUUGACGUGGUCUUUACCGAGUAGAUCAAGAGGGGAAGUGGGUAUAAUAGGCAGAGGGGAGAGGGAAGAGGGUGCAUUCUAAGAGCUAUAAUUGUUCAGAAUUAAUAUCACCCCCUCCCCCUCUCAGAGACAUAACAAUUACUUUAUCUAAAAUGAGAUGUAGUUCAGAUGUCAAUGUUCCGUAUAGACACAAGCUCUUACAUACACACAGUAGAACACACAGGUAGUAGCUGCGGUUGGAUUCAAACUUGCCAAAGGCUACUGCUUAAAAAGUGUAGACAUAUGGAAACAAUUUAACUCUUUGUGAGGCUGACCUUAUUUUGUGAUGAAUACGGAAAACCCUGUGUGAAGAUUAGUUAUGCUUGACAAUAAAUAAAUAACAAUACAAAAUAAAAAUAUUAAUAAUAACACAGUUUAAGAAGUUGAUUCACUUAAUUUUACCCUGAAUGCCAACUGCCAGUGAUAACCAAAUAUAAAAAAGUAUGUAUUUUUUAAUGUAUGUUUUACAGUUUCUUUUAGCUGUAAAAAAAACCAAACGAAAAUCUUUGAUAUUGUUUGGCAUUAAAAUAUGGGGUUCUAAAU
Non-coding RNA from Pelobates cultripes (western spadefoot toad), 1844 nucleotides. The record is from the annotation of a GenBank genome assembly. Lineage: Eukaryota; Metazoa; Chordata; Amphibia; Anura; Pelobatidae.